This 73-nucleotide transfer RNA is filed under the name Tursiops truncatus (common bottlenose dolphin). Its description in RNAcentral is "tRNA-Sup (TCA) (tRNA-Sup-TCA-2-1)". It matches the Rfam family "tRNA". Rfam says of the family: Transfer RNA (tRNA) molecules are approximately 80 nucleotides in length. Their secondary structure includes four short double-helical elements and three loops (D, anti-codon, and T loops). Further hydrogen bonds mediate the characteristic L-shaped molecular structure. tRNAs have two regions of fundamental functional importance: the anti-codon, which is responsible for specific mRNA codon recognition, and the 3' end, to which the tRNAs corresponding amino acid is attached (by aminoacyl-tRNA synthetases). tRNAs cope with the degeneracy of the genetic code in two manners: having more than one tRNA (with a specific anti-codon) for a particular amino acid; and 'wobble' base-pairing, i.e. permitting non-standard base-pairing at the 3rd anti-codon position. Lineage: Eukaryota; Metazoa; Chordata; Mammalia; Artiodactyla; Delphinidae. The record is from Rfam by way of RNAcentral.
UCCCUGGUGGUCCAGUGGUUAGGACUUGGAGCUUUCACUGCUGUGGGCCCAGGUUCGAUCCCUGGCCAGGGAA